RNAcentral lists this ribosomal RNA (430 nucleotides) under Pseudomonadota bacterium. Its description in RNAcentral is "Proteobacteria bacterium partial 16S ribosomal RNA". It matches the Rfam family "Bacterial small subunit ribosomal RNA", at positions 355 to 776 of the family's 1533-position model. The record is from RNAcentral. Lineage: Bacteria; Pseudomonadati; Pseudomonadota.
UGGGGAAUAUUGGACAAUGGGCGAAAGCCUGAUCCAGCCAUGCCGCGUGUGUGAAGAAGGCCUUAUGGUUGUAAAGCACUUUAAGCGAGGAGGAGGGUACUGGUAUUAAUACUACCAGCUACUGGACGUUACUCGCAGAAUAAGCACCGGCUAACUCUGUGCCAGCAGCCGCGGUAAUACAGAGGGUGCGAGCGUUAAUCGGAUUUACUGGGCGUAAAGCGUGCGUAGGCGGCUAAUUGAGUCGGAUGUGAAAUCCCCGAGCUUAACUUGGGAAUUGCAUUCGAUACUGGUCAGCUAGAGUAUGGGAGAGGAUGGUAGAAUUCCAGGUGUAGCGGUGAAAUGCGUAGAGAUCUGGAGGAAUACCGAUGGCGAAGGCAGCCAUCUGGCCUAAUACUGACGCUGAGGUACGAAAGCAUGGGGAGCAAACAGG